UUUUCUUUCCUUGUACGUGUGAGGUUAUGAAGAGGUUAAAGGCUCCUGCUUCGCUGCGACCAAACUGGACAACAGAUCGACAGCGAUGCAGGAAUAGCAGACAACGUCUCCACAGGGAAGGACUGAUGGACGGACAGAUAGAUGGAGGGAUGAGUCACGGAGAGGGAUGGAGGGAUGAAGCGAUGAGACAUGAAGGGAAGUGCGAUAUGCCGUCCUCAGUUGCUGCCAUUGGAGCUGUAGCAGGAGGAUUAGGAGCUUUGGUCGUGGCUCCUGCUGCUCUGACUGCAGUAGGUUUCACUUCCGCUGGAAUAGCUGCAGGCUCCUGUGCUGCUAGCUUGAUGUCAUCUGCUGCAGCUGCCGGUGGAGGAGGAGUGGCAGCAGGAAGUGUGGUGGCUGUUUUGCAGUCAGUAGGUGCAGCUGGUGUGUCAGCGGCUACCGCUGUAGCUUCAUCUGCUGUUGGAGCAGCAGCAGGGGCGGUGCUCUCAGCCGUGGCUAACUCAACUGGAACCACCUAAAGAUCUACAGCGUGGAUAUAUAUUAUUAAACUUUGGGUGAGUGAUUCUAUAGAAAGAUGGUUUAUGGUUGAGUCUCAUUCCCAGGUCGACAAGCUUUGGGUUGGUGGCUCAGUCAGAGACACUAUUGUUUAUUGUUGAGUCUCAUUCAUACAUUGUCAAAUAUGGACAACUUAGGAAUGAGACUCAGCAAUCAAACUUUUUUAGGGAAUUGCUCACCCUUUCUUUAGAGGCUACUGCAAUUUAUAUCAAGCA
RNAcentral lists this long non-coding RNA (767 nucleotides) under Sparus aurata (gilthead seabream). RNAcentral's name for it is "lncRNA (ENSSAUG00010001514.1)". Lineage: Eukaryota; Metazoa; Chordata; Actinopteri; Spariformes; Sparidae. The record is from RNAcentral.